AUGUCGUCGCCGACCGCCGCGCCGGCGCCGACUACGCCCCCGGCGCCGCCGGCUAACGCCACCGCGCCGCCCCCGGCCACCCCGUCGGCGCCUCCCCCGGCGAUCCCCUCCCCCUCGCCGCCGGCCCCCGCCAACCCGCCCCCGGCCUCCGUCCCGCCGCCGGCAGCGCCCGCGGCCUCCCCUCCCGCGCCGUCCUCCACACCGGCCACCCCAUCGGCACCAUCUCCGUCACCCCCGGGCGCCCCUGCCACCCCUUCCCCGCCCUCGGACAUGCUCUCUCCGCCCUCGCCAGAAGGGAGGUCCCCGCCCUCGCCCGGUGGCGGGGGAAGAUCGCCGUCCACGCCAGGCCACAACAACCCGUCGCCGAAAUCGCCGCCUCAUUCCUCCGGUGGCGGUGGCGGUGGCUCUGGGGUGUCCACGUCGGUGGUCGUCGGCGUAGCCGUGGGUGGCUUCGUGCUGCUGCUGCUCGCUACCUUCGUGUGCCUCUGCUGCCUCCGGAAGAAGCGCCGCCGCCAGCCUCCACCCCUGCACUAUGGUUACCCGCCGCCUCCUCCUCCGCAGUAUAAAGAGGAUCAUUAUGGAGCAACAUACCAGAAUUGGCAGAAUAAUGCUCCUCCUCCUCCACCUGAUCAUGUGGUUAAGAUGCACCCAUCACCUCCUCCAGCAUAUGCCAAUCGUCCUCCACAGGCACCACCGCCGCCUCCACCCCCUAUGAUAAACAGCAGCGGCGGGUCAGUUUCUAAUUACUCAGGUGGUGGUUUCGGAUAUGUUCACAAAGGAGUGCUGCCUAAUGGCAAAGAGAUUGCUGUGAAGCAAUUGAAACUUGGGAGUGGCCAGGGAGAGCGUGAGUUCCAGGCGGAGGUUGAGAUUAUCAGCCGCGUUCAUCACAAGCAUCUUGUGUCUCUGGUUGGUUACUGCAUCUCUGGGGGGAAGAGGUUGCUUGUAUAUGAGUUUGUCACCAAUAACACAUUGGAAUUCCACUUACAUGGAAAAGGCCGUCCAACGUUGGAGUGGCCCAUAAGACUAAGGAUUGCCCUUGGUGCUGCUAAGGGUUUGGCAUACAUUCAUGAAGAUUGCCACCCGAAGAUCAUACAUCGUGAUAUAAAGUCAUCAAACAUUCUUCUUGAUUUUAAAUUCGAAGCUAAGGUUGCGGAUUUUGGUCUGGCAAAGUUCACCUCUGAUAACAACACACAUGUGUCAACAAGAGUAAUGGGCACUUUUGGGUAUCUAGCACCAGAAUAUGCGUCUUCUGGAAAGCUAACUGAGAAAUCAGAUGUCUUUUCCUUUGGAGUGAUGCUUCUUGAGCUGAUAACUGGGCGUCGGCCUGUUGAUUCGACCCAAACAUAUAUGGAUGACAGCUUGGUUGAUUGGGCAAGACCUUUACUGAUGCGAGCACUUGAGGAUGGUAACUAUGAUGAGUUAGUGGAUGCUCGUCUGGGAAAGGAUUUCAAUCCUAAUGAGAUUGCCAGAAUGAUAGCAUGUGCUGCUGCAUGUGUACGCCAUUCAGCACGUCGUCGCCCUCGAAUGAGUCAGGUUGUUCGGGCCUUAGAAGGUGACGUCUCUUUGGAGGAUCUUAACGAAGGUGUCCGGCCUGGUCAUAGCCGCUUUUUCGGAUCAUACAGCAGUUCUGACUAUGAUUCUGGGCAGUACAACGAGGACAUGAAGAAGUUCAAGAAGAUGGCCUUUACGACGAACGACUACACGAGCAGCCAAUACAGUGCGCCGACAAGCGAGUAUGGUCAGAUACCAUCUGCAUCAAGCAGUGAGGGCCAACAAACUCAAGAAAUCGAGACAGGGACAAUGAAGAAAGGUGGCCACAGUGGCUACAGUUCAGGAUACAGCGGGCCGUCGUGA
RNAcentral lists this ribosomal RNA (1854 nucleotides) under Triticum aestivum (bread wheat). Its description in RNAcentral is "partial small subunit ribosomal RNA". Lineage: Eukaryota; Viridiplantae; Streptophyta; Magnoliopsida; Poales; Poaceae. The record is from RNAcentral.